AGUCAAGUAAUUAAGUGCAUGUGGUGGAUGCCUUGGCAGUCAGAGGCGAUGAAAGACGUGAUAGCCUGCGAAAAGCUCCGGGGAGGCGGCAAAUAUCCUUUGAUCCGGAGAUGUCUGAAUGGGGGAACCCACCUACUUUAAGGUAGGUAUUGCAACAUGAAUACAUAGUGUUGCAAGGCGAACGAGGGGAAGUGAAACAUCUCAGUACCCUUAGGAAAAGAAAUCAAUUGAGAUUCCCUCAGUAGCGGCGAGCGAACGGGGAUCAGCCCAUUAAGUUAUGUGUGUUUUAGUGGAACGCUCUGGGAAGUGCGAACGUAGAGGGUGAUAUUCCCGUACACGAAAGGGCACACAUAAUGAUGACGAGUAGGGCGAGGCACGUGAAACCUUGUCUGAAUAUGGGGGGACCAUCCUCCAAGGCUAAAUACUCCUGACUGACCGAUAGUGAACCAGUACCGUGAGGGAAAGGCGAAAAGAACCCCUGUGAGGGGAGUGAAAUAGAUCCUGAAACCGCAUGCAUACAAGCAGUGGGAGCACCUUCGUGGUGUGACUGCGUACCUUUUGUAUAAUGGGUCAGCGACUUAUAUUCAGUAGCGAGUUAACCGUAUAGGGGAGCCGUAGAGAAAUCGAGUCUUAAUAGGGCGUUUAGUUGCUGGGUAUAGACCCGAAACCAGGCGAUCUAUCCAUGAGCAGGUUGAAGGUUGGGUAACACUAACUGGAGGACCGAACCCACUGUCGUUGAAAAGCCAGGGGAUGACUUGUGGAUAGGGGUGAAAGGCUAAUCAAGCCUGGUGAUAGCUGGUUCUCCCCGAAAGCUAUUUAGGUAGCGCCUCGGACGAAUACCAUAGGGGGUAGAGCACUGUUUCGGCUAGGGGGUCAUCCCGACUUACCAAACCGAUGCAAACUCCGAAUACCUAUGAGUACUAUCCGGGAGACAGACUGCGGGUGCUAACGUCCGUAGUCAAGAGGAAAACAAUCCAGACCGCCAGCUAAGGCCCCAAAAUCAUAGUUAAGUGGGAAACGAUGUGGGAAGGCAUAGACAGCUAGGAGGUUGGCUUAGAAGCAGCCACCCUUUAAAGAAAGCGUAAUAGCUCACUAGUCGAGUCGGCCUGCGCGGAAGAUGUAACGGGGCUAAAACUAUGUGCCGAAGCUGCGGAUGUAUACUUUGUAUACGUGGUAGGGGAGCGUUCUGUAAGCCGAUGAAGGUGUGUUGAGAAGCAUGCUGGAGGUAUCAGAAGUGCGAAUGCUGACGUGAGUAACGACAAAACGGGUGAAAAACCCGUUCGCCGAAAGACCAAGGGUUCCAGUCCAACGUUAAUCGGGGCUGGGUGAGUCGACCCCUAAGGCGAGGCCGAAAGGCGUAGUCGAUGGGAAAAUGGUUAAUAUUCCAUUACUUCUGUGUAAUGCGAUGAGAGGACGGAGAAGGCUAAAUCAGCCUGGCGUUGGUUGUCCAGGUGAAAGGAUGUAGGCAUGUAUCUUAGGCAAAUCCGGGGUACUCUAUGCUGAGAUCUGAUAGCAAGCUGUACUUGUACAGCGAAGUGGUUGAUGCCAUGCUUCCAGGAAAAGUCUCUAAGCUUCAGUUACACAGGAAUCGUACCCGAAACCGACACAGGUGGUCAGGUCGAGUAGACCAAGGCGCUUGAGAGAACUCUGCUGAAGGAACUAGGCAAAAUGGUACCGUAACUUCGGGAGAAGGUACGCUGUUGUUGGUGAUGGAACUCGCUUCCUGAGCUGACGACAGCCGCAGAAACCAGGCCGCUGCAACUGUUUAUUAAAAACAUAGCACUCUGCAAACACGAAAGUGGACGUAUAGGGUGUGAUGCCUGCCCGGUGCUGGAAGGUUAAUUGAUGGGGUUAGCGUAAGCGAAGCUCUUGAUCGAAGCCCCAGUAAACGGCGGCCGUAACUAUAACGGUCCUAAGGUAGCGAAAUUCCUUGUCGGGUAAGUUCCGACCUGCACGAAUGGCAUAAUGAUGGCGGCGCUGUCUCCAGCAGAGGCUCAGUGAAAUCGAAAUCGCUGUGAAGAUGCAGUGUACCCGCGGCUAGACGGAAAGACCCCGUGAACCUUUACUGCAGCUUGACACUGAACUUUGACCUUACUUGUGUAGGAUAGGUGGGAGGCUUUGAAGCUGGAACGCUAGUUCCAGUGGAGCCGUCCUUGAAAUACCACCCUGGUAAUGUUGAGGUUCUAACUCUGUCCCGUGAUCCGGGACGAGGACCGUGUCUGGUGGGUAGUUUGACUGGGGCGGUCUCCUCCUAAAGAGUAACGGAGGAGUACGAAGGUGCGCUCAGCGUGGUCGGAAAUCACGCGUAGAGUAUAAAGGCAAAAGCGCGCUUAACUGCGAGACCCACAAGUCGAGCAGGUACGAAAGUAGGUCUUAGUGAUCCGGUGGUUCUGUAUGGAAGGGCCAUCGCUCAACGGAUAAAAGGUACUCUGGGGAUAACAGGCUGAUACCGCCCAAGAGUUCAUAUCGACGGCGGUGUUUGGCACCUCGAUGUCGGCUCAUCUCAUCCUGGGGCUGAAGCAGGUCCCAAGGGUAUGGCUGUUCGCCAUUUAAAGAGGUACGCGAGCUGGGUUUAGAACGUCGUGAGACAGUUCGGUCCCUAUCUACCGUGGGCGCUGGAAAUUUGAGAGGAUCUGCUCCUAGUACGAGAGGACCAGAGUGGACGAACCUCUGGUGUACCGGUUGUGACGCCAGUCGCAUCGCCGGGUAGCUAUGUUCGGAAGGGAUAACCGCUGAAAGCAUCUAAGCGGGAAGCCUACCUCAAGAUAAGAUUUCCCUAGGACUUUAUGUCCUCUAAAGAGCCGUUCGAGACUAGGACGUUGAUAGGUUGGAUGUGGAAGCAUAGUGAUAUGUGAAGCUGACCAAUACUAAUUGCUCGUGAGGCUUGACUAU
RNAcentral lists this ribosomal RNA (2892 nucleotides) under Acinetobacter baumannii. Its description in RNAcentral is "23S ribosomal RNA". It matches the Rfam family "Bacterial large subunit ribosomal RNA". The record is from RNAcentral. Lineage: Bacteria; Pseudomonadati; Pseudomonadota; Gammaproteobacteria; Moraxellales; Moraxellaceae.